Molecule: long non-coding RNA, 1409 nt
Organism: Styela clava
Lineage: Eukaryota; Metazoa; Chordata; Ascidiacea; Stolidobranchia; Styelidae
Source: RefSeq, a predicted model, not a curated record
GUUUAUUUCGGAUUACUUUUUAUUCAUAUAAUGGAUUGGUAUGCUACACGAGAAAAAUAACACACUGAAGAUCCAAUAUCGUACUAGGCAAAAAUAACUCGCUUCGGAUAGUAGUUCAAAAACGACCCAUAAUCAUGUAUCAUCGUGGCUUAAGAUCACUAGAUAUGACCAGGGUGAGCUUUUGAAAGGAGUCGAGCACACAAAAAGUCAACAGACUUAUCAAGCAUAUUUACCUAGUAAAUAUAUGAUACGAGGAUAAACGUUACGCAUUCAGAACGGGCAUGAAUCGUAUAAAACACAGGCCUUUUUAAUUCACGUAUGUAGGAUAAUAUAGCUUGCACAAACACAAAAUACAUCAAACCAAACAUAGGUUUUACCUUUGACAUAUUUUUGUAAGCGUUGCCAAACCCAAUACAAGCAUGUUUGCAAAACAGACAUUGGCAAUCGGAAGACUUGAAACUUUAUUUAACUAUCUGAAUCAGCAUAUCAAUGUGAGAGGGUUUCACGAUAGAAAGGACUGACAUAGACAUUUUUGUGGAAAUUACAACAUUAAUUCUUAACAAUGGAGUCUUCAUCGGACGAAAAAAUUCCACAGGAAACCACAAAAAGAUACCAAGUUUGCAAAUGCGCAGCUACGAAGUCAUGCAGUUGUUCAAAAGUCAGCAACUCAAAAUCUGAGGGUUGUCAUUCUCUAUCUUCCACUAAAGUCUCAUCAAGCAGGUCUGACUGCUGUACGAAUUGUACUUGUGAUCCACAACUGUGCGCUUGUGAAGGAUGUUUUCAUCGACUUUGACGUGAUUGCUAUUUUAUGUAAAGCUGUUUGGUAUAUUGUUGCAAUAAUGUAAUUGGUAACUAAGUUUAUGCUGGUGUGUGUUGUGUGAAAAUUUUUUUAAGGGGCCGUGGUAUAUUAAGCUACAUUGUAUUUUUUAUUGACAACUGAAAACAAGCAAACAGGAAGGAUAUAUUUUUUGAGGACUCCUUCUUUCUGACAUGCCAGAGUGAGAGAUUUUUGAGAUACAAUGUUAUUAACUCUUUUUUCCACAGUUACUCAAAUAAGAGCAUAUUCUUUUUUUUCAUGCCAUUAGAAUCUUUCUUGUGAUGAAAUUCGUUUAUUAUCAAUGUAAUUAGUUUGAAAACUGGGUCUUUCACAGCGAGACACAGAUUUUAAAUAUCUUAUCAAAACUAAAUUACAAGAAAUGUUUUGCAUAUAUAUCUAGAAGAGAAGCCAUUCAUGAGCAAAUGUAUAGCCGAAACCGUCAUCAGGUGUAGAGUUGUUGUCGAAAAUACAUAUCGCCUACCAUAAUAAAAUACACUAUCAGACUUUAAAUAAAUGUAAUACUAGAAACACAUGCGCUCUCAGAAUUUAUUUAGUGGUACAUUUAUCCAAAUUCAAACUGUAAAUCACACAG